RNAcentral lists this long non-coding RNA (1236 nucleotides) under Homo sapiens (human). Its description in RNAcentral is "HSALNT0303288". The record is from RNAcentral. Lineage: Eukaryota; Metazoa; Chordata; Mammalia; Primates; Hominidae.
AGAAAGAGGGACUCAUAUGUACGAAGGUUUAGGGGUGAGAGAUAGCUUGGCAUGGCCAAGGAACCAAAGGAUUGGUGUAAGGGAGGAGGCUAAAGGAACGUGCUGAGGUGGAAGAGACAGGUGGGGACCAUGCCACAUGUGGAGGCUCCAGUAAAUAUCUCUGGUUUUAUUUGAGACACAUUGAGAAACCAUUGACAGUUUUCAUGUAGGGAGUGACAUGAUCACAUUGGAUGCUAUUUGGAGAAUAGAUAGAAGGAAUCAAGAUUAGAAGCAAUGUUGGGAUGAUAUGGUAGUAGUCCAGGUGAGAAGUGAAAUUGAUGAGGUAGAAUGCACAGAACUUGCGUGGAUGUCUCAUGGGUUUCUGGUUCAAGCAGUGGAAUUCACAGUUUAAAGCAAUGGAGAAAAUUGGAGGAAGAAGAGGUAAUUUCUUCCCAAUCUCCACCCCUUCUAUAGAUGAGUUAUACAUCGGAGACCACAGGUUUUUAGAAGAUGUAAUUCUUUACAAAGAGACAUUCAUUCUAGUAUUUCAAAUUGCUGCCUGCAUAAGUAGGAAGCUUCGGGCCCUGGGAAGGGGUUGUCAUUCCUCAGUCUCUGACACAGCCCAGUUACUUAUUUUUGGAGAAAAACACUGAAUAUGAUGAAUGAUUUUCUAAGCAGUCAGAAAGAUAAAUGCAGAGAUGGCUAGAAGGAAAAAGUAUCCAAUGUUCCAUGUGUGUACAUUCACCACAGCUGUGUUAAUUCUAGAUCAUAAACUCUGCCCAGCGCUAUAGCUUGAGAGUUAAAAAAAAAAAAAGAAUAAAAUAUUUUUAAAGGUACUCUGGGCAAAAGAGAACACAUUUAAAAAGAAAAACGUGAACAAAAAUUUAAGUUAAAAGAAUAAAAAAGGAACUAUAAGUAAAAAGAUUGAGGCAAGAAUUAUUCAGAAAUUAAAGUAAUAGAUUUGGUUAAAAAUAAAAAAGAUCAAAAGAGCUAUAACUAAAAAAUUAAAGUAACAGAUUAAGGUAGAAAAUUAUGGUAAAAUUUAGAAAAAGAUUAAAAGGAUAAAAUAUACAGUGUAAAGUCAAGAAUAGACCACGUGAAAAGUAAAAAUGCUAGACCCAUAAGAUUUAGAAAGGUAAAAUCACGACAAACCUAAAAUAAGCUGAAGGAUAAACAGAGAGAACAAAAAUAGAGAGGUGACAAAAGACUAAAGGAGGAAUUACAUACAAUCAAAAUGUUAAAACUUGCUAAAAUUUA